UGGGGAAUUUUCCGCAAUGGGCGAAAGCCUGACGGAGCAAUACCGCGUGAGGGAGGAAGGCCUUUGGGUUGUAAACCUCUUUUCUCAAGGAAGAAGUUCUGACGGUACUUGAGGAAUCAGCAUCGGCUAACUCCGUGCCAGCAGCCGCGGUAAUACGGAGGAUGCAAGCGUUAUCCGGAAUUAUUGGGCGUAAAGCGUCCGCAGGCGGUUUCACAAGUCUGCUGUCAAAGACUGGAGCUUAACUCCGGGCAGGCGGUGGAAACUGUGAAACUAGAGUACGGUAGGGGUAGAGGGAAUUCCCAGUGUAGCGGUGAAAUGCGUAGAGAUUGGGAAGAACACCAGUGGCGAAGGCGCUCUACUGGGCCGUAACUGACGCUCAGGGACGAAAGCUAGGGGAGCGAAUGGGAUUAGAUACCCCUGUAGUCCUAGCUGUAAACGAUGGAUACUAGGCGUUGCUUGUAUCGACCCGAGCAGUGCCGCAGCUAACGCGUUAAGUAUCCCGCCUGGGG
RNAcentral lists this ribosomal RNA (509 nucleotides) under uncultured cyanobacterium. Its description in RNAcentral is "bacterial SSU rRNA". It matches the Rfam family "Bacterial small subunit ribosomal RNA", at positions 355 to 878 of the family's 1533-position model. Lineage: Bacteria; Bacillati; Cyanobacteriota. The record is from RNAcentral.